GAUGAAGAACGUAGCGAAAUGCGAUAAGUAGUGUGAAUUGCAGAAUUCCGUGAAUCAUCGAAUCUUUGAACGCACAUUGCGCCUUCUGGUAUUCCGGAAGGCAUGCCUGUUCGAGAGUCAUUAACAACCGUUUCGAUCCCUUUCUUUCAGAAAUUACAAAGAGGAAAAGGGUUUGGUUAUGGUGGAGGAGGGAAAGGGAGCGUUUAGCCUGUAAAAAAAGAGGCUGUGUUCCGCCUCCCCCCCAAAAUUGUACAGGCGGUCGUGUGCGCCCACGCAUCGAGGUGUUGUAAAAGCUGCCACGGCACUUUUCACCUGUGCAGUGCGAGAUUGGCCAGCCGGUUUAAAAACCCCUCCAAACAAUCAAAGGUUGACCUCGGAUCAGGUAGGGAUACCCGCUGAACUUAAGCAUAUCAAUAAGCGGAGGA
Molecule: unclassified non-coding RNA, 425 nt
Filed under: soil metagenome
Description: partial contains 5.8S ribosomal RNA, internal transcribed spacer 2, and large subunit ribosomal RNA
Rfam family: 5.8S ribosomal RNA (bases 1-120)
Source: RNAcentral